RNAcentral lists this transfer RNA (85 nucleotides) under Felis catus (domestic cat). It matches the Rfam family "tRNA". From Rfam's summary of the family: Transfer RNA (tRNA) molecules are approximately 80 nucleotides in length. Their secondary structure includes four short double-helical elements and three loops (D, anti-codon, and T loops). Further hydrogen bonds mediate the characteristic L-shaped molecular structure. tRNAs have two regions of fundamental functional importance: the anti-codon, which is responsible for specific mRNA codon recognition, and the 3' end, to which the tRNAs corresponding amino acid is attached (by aminoacyl-tRNA synthetases). tRNAs cope with the degeneracy of the genetic code in two manners: having more than one tRNA (with a specific anti-codon) for a particular amino acid; and 'wobble' base-pairing, i.e. permitting non-standard base-pairing at the 3rd anti-codon position. Lineage: Eukaryota; Metazoa; Chordata; Mammalia; Carnivora; Felidae. The record is from Rfam by way of RNAcentral. RNAcentral also lists the same sequence under 3 other names.
GCCUGGGUGGCUCAGUUGGUUAAGUACCUGACCUCAGCUCAGGUCAUGAUCUCAUGGCUUGUGAGUUCAAGCCCCACAUCAGGCU